AGUGAUUGCUCAAACGGAUGGCGCUCGGAUGUCAGUAGCUUCUUUCUAUAACCCUGGAAGUGAAGCAGUUAUCUAUCCAGCACCAGCUUUGGUGGAGAAGGAAGCAGAAGAGAAGAAAGAACUGUACCCAAAAUUUGUAUUUGAUGACUACAUGAAGCUGUACGCUGGUCUCAAAUUCCAGGCCAAGGAGCCAAGAUUUGAAGCCAUGAAAGCUGUAGAAACCACUGUCAAUCUGGGUCCAAUUGCAACUGCUUAAUCUUCUUCAAGGAGGAUUUGGAGUCGUCUUAUUUUUAUU
RNAcentral lists this long non-coding RNA (295 nucleotides) under Populus tremula. RNAcentral describes it as "long non-coding RNA (PTRE_LNC000982)". The record is from RNAcentral. Lineage: Eukaryota; Viridiplantae; Streptophyta; Magnoliopsida; Malpighiales; Salicaceae.